UGGCGGACGGGUGAGUAAUGUCUGGGAAACUAGCCUGAUGGAGGGGGAUAACUACUGGAAACGGUAGCUAAUACCGCAUAACGUCGCAAGACCAAAGAGGGGGACCUUCGGGCCUCUUGCCAUCGGAUGUGCCCAGAUGGGAUUAGCUAGUAGGUGGGGUAACGGCUCACCUAGGCGACGAUCCCUAGCUGGUCUGAGAGGAUGACCAGCCACACUGGAACUGAGACGCGGUCCAG
This 236-nucleotide ribosomal RNA is filed under the name uncultured bacterium. Its description in RNAcentral is "partial 16S ribosomal RNA". It matches the Rfam family "Bacterial small subunit ribosomal RNA", at positions 96 to 334 of the family's 1533-position model. The record is from RNAcentral.